Cicer arietinum (chickpea) is the source of this 1648-nucleotide long non-coding RNA. RefSeq lists it as uncharacterized. Lineage: Eukaryota; Viridiplantae; Streptophyta; Magnoliopsida; Fabales; Fabaceae. The record is from RefSeq and is a predicted model, not a curated record.
AAUACUUCGGUUCACAUUAAAAAACACAUGAAAAAUUUAUACAAAAAGUGACAAAAUGUGAGAGUUUGAGUUAAAUUGUGAGGAAUGAAAAUCCAAUUGUAUGUCAUGUGUUGGUGUUGCAUGAAAAUACAGUAAGGUUCUUUAAGAGAUAAACCAUGGAAGCAAAAAAUAAAUGAGCUUCAAGAUAGCAAGAUAGAGUGAGUUCUAUUUAAUGAAAAGUUGGCUGUUAGAAAGCUUUUAUGGCCGCCUAUUUCCCAUUUUGUUAUCAACCGUAGAAUUUGUACUAGACCCGAUUACGUAGGUCAUAGAUUCACCUAUAUAUUCUAGACUCAAACACAGAAAAAGCUCGUGGAGAUGCCGUUCAAUCCAACCGAUAAUUUAUUAGAAACUUAUCAGUUCCACGGCGGCGGCGGUACUGUCGUGGAGGAGAUCGGAAAAUUAAUCGCGGUUUUCCACUGUGAAAACAGUGAUCAUGAUCCACGGUUCCACUGGGAACCAGAUCAAGCUUUCAUUUGAAGAAGGUGGAGUUGAUUCGAUCAAAUUGGAGCAAUGACGGUAAAAAACGGUGGAUCUUCCAGAUUCAGAUCUGGAGCCAGCAGGUUAUGAUCGGUAACUGAAUUUGAUUCAAUUAGAUCUGGAUCCACCAGAUCUCGGUGACAAGCUCCAUCGUGAUGUGCAAUGUCUCGCGGUUUUGACAACUCUCUGUUGGAGUUCACCUUUGUUUAUGAUGAUUCAAGGUGGUGGCGUCUUUGUUUACAUGGUUAUGGUGAACCUCAAUUAUGAAGAUGUGAAAGUUGACAGUUGGGAGAAAUAGUGAAUAUCUCCACGUGAUUCCUUUUUGAUUGAACUGUAUUGGAGAUGUACUUCUGAAUGGCAUUCUCAAUUAGUUUGCCAUCCGAAUCCCGAGAUGCUAAUAUACAGCCAGUUGGAUUUGCCUCGGGGUUUUGAUCAAGUGGCACAUGUAAUGCCAACGGGUUGCGUGUUGAUGCAUUUACUUUGUUUUUGUAACGAUUUAUUUUAAAAGAACGCUUUUUGUUAUAUGGCAUAUGACAAAAUUUGUAUUUUGAUUAUGACAGUCUUCAAAUAGAUUAUUACUUGAUGGGUUGGAAUAUCAUUUUUUGAGAUUCUAAAUGCUGAAAUUGAGAAACUUGGUCGAGAGCUCUUCAACUCGAAAUUAGUCAUCCGCCAUAUAACAAAAUGUGUUCUUUUAAAAUCGUUAAAAAAAAAAAAAAGAGUAUGUCCAUCAACACACUAACCAUUGUCCAUUGACAUGUGGCACUUCAUCAUACCCCGAGGCAUGUGCAAUGGAUGUAUAUCUUGAAAGCUUGGUUUUGACAUGUUGAAAGUGUUGCCGGUGGAAUAAAUUAUCCAUAAAUACUUCUGAGGACUUUUGUGAUGGAGUUCAGGUCAAACUCAAAGCCAAUCUAUACUCGAGGGCGAAACCUGGGGAUGUAAAUGUAAGAUCAGGAGCUAGGCUUGGGUUUCGUGUAUUGAUAGUGCAUUAUCGUUGUUGAUGUGUAUAAUAAUUGUAUUCACCAAAUGCUGAAUUAUAACACUCUCCAUGAAUAUGAUGUUUUUCUUUGUAAAGAUUAACUGUUGUAGUUAAUGAAUUCCUAUCAAUUUGCAUUUUACUUUUGAUUUGUUGACA